AUGGCAGCGGACGCGAGAAGGGGUGAGGGGCCCAGGAGCCACAACGGGAGCCACGAGAGCGAGUUGGACUUGGCCAUGCUCGUCAGCGACUGCCUCAAGGGUAACAGCGGCGAGGACCCGGGCUCCCCGACCUCGGCCACUUCGCAGACAAGAUCAAGGAGUAUGUACAAGAAAGCAGGAGAUGAGAAAGAAAACAAGCUGCUCUCCAUUGUUCACUCCCUCUUCUCGAUCCACGAGACAUGGCUCCAGGUUUUUGUAAGAGGUCAAUGUACUGGCAGCUGCAGUCGCCAUCUACUCAUGAAGCUCUUAUGUACUUGA
RNAcentral lists this ribosomal RNA (318 nucleotides) under Triticum aestivum (bread wheat). Its description in RNAcentral is "partial small subunit ribosomal RNA". Lineage: Eukaryota; Viridiplantae; Streptophyta; Magnoliopsida; Poales; Poaceae. The record is from RNAcentral.